RNAcentral lists this ribosomal RNA (619 nucleotides) under Parahelicomyces talbotii. RNAcentral describes it as "partial 28S ribosomal RNA". It matches the Rfam family "Eukaryotic large subunit ribosomal RNA", at positions 21 to 656 of the family's 3401-position model. Lineage: Eukaryota; Fungi; Ascomycota; Dothideomycetes; Tubeufiales; Tubeufiaceae. The record is from RNAcentral.
AUACCCGCUGAACUUAAGCAUAUCAAUAAGCGGAGGAAAAGAAACCAACAGGGAUUGCCUCAGUAACGGCGAGUGAAGCGGCAAUAGCUCAAAUUUGAAAUCUGGCUCUUUCAGAGUCCGAGUUGUAAUUUGUAGAGGAUGCUUCGGCUUACGUUUCGGUCUAAGUUCCUUGGAACAGGACGUCACAGAGGGUGAGAAUCCCGUUUGUGGCCGAGACUUCCGCCAUGUGAAGCUCCUUCGACGAGUCGAGUUGUUUGGGAAUGCAGCUCUAAAUGGGAGGUAUAUUUCUUCUAAAGCUAAAUACCGGCCAGAGACCGAUAGCGCACAAGUAGAGUGAUCGAAAGAUGAAAAGCACUUUGGAAAGAGAGUUAAAAAGUACGUGAAAUUGUUGAAAGGGAAGCGCUUGCGACCAGACUUGCCCGCGGAUGCUCAACCGGUCCUUCGGCCGGUGCACUCUUCCGCGGUCAGGCCAGCAUCAGUUCGAGCGGUCGGAUAAAGGCCUUGGGAAUGUGGCUCUCUUCGGGGAGUGUUAUAGCCCUUGGUGUAAUACGGCCCGCUUGGACUGAGGCCCGCGCUUCGGCUAGGAUGCUGGCGUAAUGGUCGUAAGCGGCCCGUCUUG